UAUGGGAGGGACUGGCGAGCUGGUGAGAAGCUGUCAGUGCUGAUAAAGCAAAGGGAGGGGUCAGCUGCAGUACGAGGAAACUGUCUUUGUCUCAACCCAUGCAUUUUUCUUCCUUUUGCCCUUUGGAGUCUCUCCCACAUCCCACUUUGGGGGCAGUAAGUGAGCAUCUAGGUGGGUGUUUAGCUGUUGGCCAGGGUCAACCCACCACCUAUAGGAAAGCCCUAAGCUCCCUCCUCCUGCCUCCCAGCUACCAGGCAGGUGAGAAACAAGGAGAUGUGGUUGCUUUUGAGUUAGACUUCCUGCAUAUGAAAGAUCUACUACCUGAACAUCCACAGAUAAGAAUCAUAUGGUUGUGUAUGUAUGAGUUGAUUUUCUGCCUCACAUUAAGUGCAUUCUUUCUUAACAUUUCCAGAUUCCUAGACUGUAUCAGACUUAAAUUCAGAUACAAAAAAACUACUGAACUGGGUUGGGCACAGUGCAGGUAACAUGAUACCUGUUCUAAAGUCUGAUAAAAUUGCAUGCUUUCUUUUGUGUGUAGCCUCUUUUCCUUUAUAUCACUUAAAUAUUGAUACCACGUGUCAUCAUUAUCCCUCCCAGAACACAUUCAAGGGAGUGGGGGGGGAAGGCAGACGUCAAAUUGACCUUGAUUUGACUUUGAUGGAAUGAAGACAAAGAUAUGAACUGAACUGAGUGACAUUAAAAAUGAACUUAUUUUUGUCUGUCAAUAAUUCAGAUUUCAUUAAGGCUAAAUCAGGUCACUGAAAUGUUAGGAAAAGCCAUCUAGUGUCAAAAAAAGGUUUAAGAAGAACUUAAUGCCUAAAAGCAGUCUAAUGACUAUACCAAUUCUGGAUACACUGAAAAUCAAGGACUAAAUCUGCUCAGUUACUGAUGUAGCAGUAGCGCAGAGACUAUAGCUUGUAUUGGUCAGGCAGCAGGGCACAUAAUGUACUUACACAGAGGAAGGAGCUAACGAAGAAAUUCUGCACAUCUAUAUGAGAAACAAUAUUGAAAAUAAGGAUAAAAGAUGGAGGAAAGCCACAGAACUUGAGGAAUUUUAUUUCCCAGGUCAAACUGUUCAUAUAAGAAGCAGAGCUGUGGCCACUGCAGAGCUUUCAGCAGGUCAAAUCCCAUAUUUCCUACAUACAGAAGCUAUAUGGACUUAAUUCAAGCAAUUUUAACUGUAUUAUCUCACAUUUUUUGUGUGGUCUCUCUUAUAUUGACGUAAAACUAUUUUUAUCUGUCAGAUUUAUGACAAUACGUUUAGACCAUAAGCAUGAAUUAAGCUUGCAAAUAGUUGCUUCAUUCAAAGUUGUUACUACUCCCCAGCCAGCUGUUCACCAAUGACCUUUUGCAAAAAGCCACUUCCACCCACAGUUCUGCCAGCCUGUGCUCAAAUGGGUCCCUUGGUGGCAGUGAGGCUGGUGGGUGACCUCAGUGAAGUGUCCAAAGGGCACCUACAAAAUAGGUAUGGGUACAGUAACCUGCUGCUGGAUGGUGACAAAUAGUGAGACAUUGUAUCUUCAUCUGUUCCAGGAAUGCUGGGACGGAAACUGCAGUCUGCUGCCCUGUUGAUGGCUAAACCUGUAUAAACAGGUCUGAACCAUGCUAAAACUUCGAUUGCACACAGCCUUGUGUACUGUAUUGUUCUUGCUAUAUGGAUUUGAAAAUCCUGCUAACCUGGAAACCCCCUUGUACA
Long non-coding RNA from Pezoporus occidentalis (night parrot), 1696 nucleotides. RefSeq lists it as uncharacterized. The record is from RefSeq and is a predicted model, not a curated record. Lineage: Eukaryota; Metazoa; Chordata; Aves; Psittaciformes; Psittacidae. The transcript has 4 exons.